Molecule: non-coding RNA, 74 nt
Organism: Moraxella bovis
Lineage: Bacteria; Pseudomonadati; Pseudomonadota; Gammaproteobacteria; Moraxellales; Moraxellaceae
Source: Rfam
CGGGGCGUAGCGCAGCUUGGUAGCGCAUCUGCUUUGGGAGCAGAGGGUCGGGGGUUCAAAUCCCUCCGCCCCGA